Molecule: ribosomal RNA, 2921 nt
Rfam family: Bacterial large subunit ribosomal RNA
Source: Rfam
GGUUAAGUUAACAAGGGCGCAUGGUGAAUGCCUUGGCACUAGGAGCCGAUGAAGGACGGGACUAACACCGAUAUGCUUCGGGGAGCUGUACGUAAGCUAUGAUCCGGAGAUUUCCGAAUGGGGCAACCCAGCAGUUUUAAUCAACUGUUACCACUAGAUGAAUUCAUAGUCUAGUUGGAGGUAAACGCUGUGAACUGAAACAUCUCAUUAGCAGCAGGAAUAUAAAGAAAUUUCGAUUCCCUAAGUAGCGGCGAGCGAACGGGGAACAGCCCAAACCAAAGUGCUUGCACUUUGGGGUUGUAGGACUGAACAUUUGAGUUACCAAAGAACUUGAUAGUCGAAGGAUUUGGGAAAAUCCGCCAUAGAUGGUGAUAGCCCAGUAGAUUAAAUCAAAUUCUCUCAGUUCAGGAUCCUGAGUACGGCGGAACACGUGAAAUUCCGUCGGAAUCCGGGAGGACCAUCUCCCAAGGCUAAAUACUACCUAGUGACCGAUAGUGAACCAGUACCGUGAGGGAAAGGUGAAAAGCACCCCGGGAGGGGAGUGAAAUAGUUCCUGAAACCAUGUGCCUACAAUAAGUCAGAGCGCGUUAAUGCGUGAUGGCGUGCCUUUUGUAGAAUGAACCGGCGAGUUAUGAUCCCGUGCAAGGUUAAGACUAAAAAGUCGGAGCCGUAGCGAAAGCGAGUCUGAAAUGGGCGUUUUGAGUACGAGGUUAUAGACCCGAAACCAGGUGACCUAUCCAUGUCCAGGUUGAAGGUGCGGUAAAACGCACUGGAGGACCGAACCCGUGUAAGUUGAAAAUUGCUGGGAUGAGGUGUGGAUAGCGGUGAAAUUCCAAACGAACUUGGAGAUAGCUGGUUCUCUCCGAAAUAGCUUUAGGGCUAGCCUCGGAAUUAGGAUCAUGGAGGUAGAGCACUAUUUGGACUAGGGGCCCGUCUUGGGUUACUGAAUUCAGAUAAACUCCGAAUGCCAUUGAUUCAUAUCCGGGAGUCAGACGAUGAGUGAUAAGAUCCACCGUCGAAAGGGGAACAGCCCAGACCAUCAGUUAAGGUCCCUAAAUGUAUGCUAAGUGGAAAAGGAUGUGGAGUUGCAUAGACAACUAGGAUGUUGGCUCAGAAGCAGCCACCAUUUAAAGAGUGCGUAAUAGCUCACUAGUCGAGUGAUCCUGCGCCGAAAAUGUACCGGGGCUAAGCAUACUACCGAAACCAUGGAUGCGACCAUUAGGUCGCGUGAUAGGAGAGCGUUCUAAGGGCGGUGAAGCAAGAUCGUGAGGACUUGUGGAGCGCUUAGAAGUGAGAAUGCCGGUAUGAGUAGCGAAAGAUAGGUGAGAAUCCUAUCCACCGAAUGACUAAGGUUUCCUGGGGAAGGCUCGUCCUCCCAGGGUUAGUCGGGACCUAAGUCGAGGCCGAGAAGCGUAGACGAUGGAUAACAGGUUGAGAUUCCUGUACUAGUUAAGUGCGUUUGAGCAAUGGAGGGACGCAGGAGGCUAAGAUGUGCAUUCUGUUGGAUUAGAAUGUCCAAGCAGUAAGUCUUGUGAAGAGUCAAAUGCUUUUCACUUUAAGGACAAGCUGUGAUGGGGAGCGAAAUUUAGUAGCGAAGCGUCUGAUGUCACACUGCCGAGAAAAGCUUCUAGUGAGUACUUAACUACCCGUACCGCAAACCGACACAGGUAGUCGAGGAGAGAAUCCUAAGGUGAGCGAGUGAACUCUCGUUAAGGAACUCGGCAAAAUGACCCCGUAACUUCGGGAGAAGGGGUGCUGAUCGCAAGAUCAGCCGCAGUGAAUAGGCCCAGGCGACUGUUUAUCAAAAACACAGGUCUCUGCAAAAUCGUAAGAUGACGUAUAGGGGCUGACGCCUGCCCGGUGCUGGAAGGUUAAAAGGAUGGGUUAGCUUCGGCGAAGCUCAGAAUUGAAGCCCCAGUAAACGGCGGCCGUAACUAUAACGGUCCUAAGGUAGCGAAAUUCCUUGUCGGGUAAGUUCCGACCCGCACGAAAGGCGUAACGAUCUGGGCACUGUCUCAACGAGAGACUCGGUGAAAUUAUAUUGUCCGUGAAGAUGCGGACUACCCGCGACAGGACGGAAAGACCCCAUGGAGCUUUACUGUAGCUUGAUAUUGAGUGUUUGUACAGCUUGUACAGGAUAGGUAGGAGCCAUAGAAACCGGAACGCUAGUUUCGGUGGAGGCGUUGGUGGGAUACUACCCUCGCUGUAUGACCACUCUAACCCGCACCACUAAUCGUGGUGGGAGACAGUGUCAGGUGGGCAGUUUGACUGGGGCGGUCGCCUCCUAAAAAGUAACGGAGGCGCCCAAAGGUUCCCUCAGAAUGGUUGGAAAUCAUUCGCAGAGUGUAAAGGCACAAGGGAGCUUGACUGCGAGACAGACAGGUCGAGCAGGGACGAAAGUCGGGCUUAGUGAUCCGGUGGUACCGUAUGGAAGGGCCAUCGCUCAACGGAUAAAAGCUACCCUGGGGAUAACAGGCUUAUCUCCCCCAAGAGUCCACAUCGACGGGGAGGUUUGGCACCUCGAUGUCGGCUCAUCGCAUCCUGGGGCUGUAGUCGGUCCCAAGGGUUGGGCUGUUCGCCCAUUAAAGCGGUACGCGAGCUGGGUUCAGAACGUCGUGAGACAGUUCGGUCCCUAUCCGUCGCGGGCGUAGGAAAUUUGAGAGGACCUGUCCUUAGUACGAGAGGACCGGGAUGGACAUACCUCUGGUGUACCAGUUGUGCCGCCAGGCGCAUCGCUGGGUAGCUACGUAUGGAUGUGAUAAACGCUGAAAGCAUCUAAGUGUGAAACACACCUCGAGAUGAGAUUUCCCAUUCCUUUAUGGAAGUAAGACCCCUGAAAGAUGAUCAGGUAGAUAGGUUAGAAGUGGCAGUGCGGUGACGCAUGAAGCGGACUAAUACUAAUCGGUCGAGGACUUAACCAA